CACGCCUGCGAAGGGCAGAGACACGAGGCACAGCAGCGCGAAGAUCCGCUUCUGGCAGCGGCCGAAGGCCCCCGCCUCCUCCAGGAGGUCAUCAAAGGUGGUCAUGUUGCAGAGGUUUCCGUCCCAGGACUCUUGCUGAACCUCCGUCUGCAGAGUGGCCCCUGAGGGCCUCCUCACGGCUUUUAAGGAGGCCUGCGGGAGCAAAAGUUCCUCUGAAGCGGUGCGGCAGAGCGUGACGUUCCUGCGUCAGACUGGCAGUCAGGUUCUGGCAGGGAUCCAUGUUCUGAAGCUGGGACCGGAUCUUCAGCCGCAGGAACAUCAGCUGCCGUUCAGGAACAGAUUUUUAUCAGAUGGAAUUCUUUAGGAACGUUUGACUUUCCAUCUUCAGACAGAAAGAGCUGGGUUCUGAACCCGAGUACGUCACCUUCUCUGCUCUUUGGACUCCUGAGUUUAGAUUUUCAUCAGUUAUUGUAAAAAGAACAUUUUAACCCCCACCCCCUCCCCCCAGCAGGAGAAUGUUUAUCAUUUUUGUUCAAAUGAGAGGCUGAAGGAAGAUAAAUGAUAAACUUGUUCAAACAAGAGGCCGUUCUGAGUCCCGUUUGAACUGAAGCGGAUCAGACCUGCAGGUCCCGUUUGAACUGAAGCGGAUCGGACCUGCAGGUCCCGUCUGAACUGAAGCGGAUCGGACCUGCAGGUCCUGUUUGACUUUCAUGCACAGGAACAUCUAUGGAUGAACCACCAUGAAGACCAAGUCUGGAGGAACACAAAUCAAAGAUCAGGCUGAGCAGAGCCGGAAACAGCAGAUCUCUUUAUUCAGAGAAUUUAAUUUAAAUCAUUUUUUAAAUAGGAAACCAGACAGAGAGCUGCAGACAUAACACGCAAAAUAAUUUACAUCAAAAACAGAGCAGAUCCACUCAGGAUCUGCUCUUCAGAACCUCCUGUGCUUCUGGAGCGUUUCGUCUGCAGUCACAUCAAGUCUUCCUUCAUUUAGAGAAAAAUCAGCCGUACCAAACA
This is a non-coding RNA of Oryzias latipes (Japanese medaka), 1014 nucleotides long. NCBI's taxonomy places the organism in Eukaryota, Metazoa, Chordata, Actinopteri, Beloniformes, Adrianichthyidae. The record is from RefSeq and is a predicted model, not a curated record.